This 464-nucleotide ribosomal RNA is filed under the name uncultured bacterium. RNAcentral's name for it is "partial 16S ribosomal RNA". It matches the Rfam family "Bacterial small subunit ribosomal RNA", at positions 29 to 507 of the family's 1533-position model. The record is from RNAcentral.
ACGAACGCUGGCGGCGUGCUUAACACAUGCCAGUCGAACGGAAAGGCCCUGCUUGCAGGGUACUCGAGUGGCGAACGGGUGAGUAACACGUGGGUGAUCUGCCCUGCACUUCGGGAUAAGCCUGGGAAACUGGGUCUAAUACCGGAUAGGAGCCAUUUUUAGUGUGAUGGUUGGAAAGUUUUUUCGGUGUAGGAUGAGCUCGCGGCCUAUCAGCUUGUUGGUGGGGUAAUGGCCUACCAAGGCGGCGACGGGUAGCCGGCCUGAGGGGGUGGACGGCCACAUUGGGACUGAGAUACGGCCCAGACUCCUACGGGAGGCAGCAGUGGGGAAUAUUGCACAAUGGGCGCAAGCCUGAUGCAGCGACGCCGCGUGGGGGAUGACGGCCUUCGGGUUGUAAACUCCUUUCGCUAGGGACGAAGCUUUUUGUGACGGUACCUAGAUAAGAAGCACCGGCUAACUACGUG